This 1831-nucleotide long non-coding RNA is filed under the name Mytilus galloprovincialis (Mediterranean mussel). Lineage: Eukaryota; Metazoa; Mollusca; Bivalvia; Mytilida; Mytilidae. The record is from RNAcentral.
UAAUUGAAAAUAAUUCCAAGUUUAAAUAAUAGCCUGUUAUUAUGGAAAAAUUUUAUUACAAAAUGUUUUUUGGUAUGAGAUACAGAACGCAUUUUUCAAAUGGUGAAAAUCUUUUGACCUCUUACUGUACAUCAAACAAAAAAAUAAACAAUUAUAAAUCCUGUUAACUAAUUGCAAAACAAAUAAAAAAAUUAUACUGAUGAAUGAAUUAUCACAAACAAAUGAUUGACCCUCUCAAAAUCACAAAAAAUAAACAAGUAUGCAUGUACAACACACUGUAGAACUAAAUCAACCUUCUUGCAUUAAUUAUUUGCGUAACAUAUUUAAAACAAAGUAACUUCCUUAUCAAAACACAUUUACAAACUAGAUCACCACAAUUCGACUAAGUUACUUAAAAGCUUUACUAUAAAAUUAUUAUUGAGUAAGGGGUCAUCCAUAAUUGUCAACCAUUUUCCAAAGUGUACAAAACGUACACUUGGAGGGAGGGGGUUAAAAAAUCAACAUUUUUACCGUACGCUUUUUUUUUUAUUUCUAGAAUUUAUUUCUUUUCCGUAGGGAAGGUCGAUGUAUAAAAUGGAGAAUUGGCUUGGGUGUGUUUCUCUCAUUUCUUCUUUAUUAUUUUCACUUGAUAUUUAUUUCGAUAUCAUAAUUUUCCUCAAUCCGGAUUGAACGAUUAAAAGAUCAAAUCAUAUGAAAACUAAAUCUUUCAAAAAUGUAAACUUGUAAAAAAUUUUAAACAAAAAGUUUGCAAGCAUUUCCCGAUUGUCAAUUUCACCUGCUUUAUUAUAAAUCGUUAUCGUUUCACUCUGUUUAAUUAACAAAACUGAUGGAAACACUAAAUUCUUUGAAUGUUUUGAUUUUGACAAGACGCCAUUUUGUGAAAAGAUUUUAAACUGGUCCUUCGAUUAAUUUCCUUGUAAUGUAUUCCAAAACAGUAAACCAAUAAAACGGAAGUAAACUUAUUUUUCUUAGUAUAAGCCUCCUUUAAUUAGGAGCACCUCCAUAUGAAGUUUAACCUUAACCUUAAAAAUUAUCUAAUAUAUGUACACGUUACAGUAUACAUGGUAUAUAUACAUAAACGAUAAUAGUGCCAUUAAUGGCAUAUUUACAGGGACCUUUUAAAUAGAAAUACAGGCAGGAAAUUUAAAAACUUAAAAUGUUUUAAAACAUUACACUUUUAUUGAUUGCUGUCUUGAGCUCUGAUUCCAUCAACAACUGUCACUCCAUUCUUUACCAAUGCAAUAUAACCAUGCAUUUCCCUUUCUUUGAUUCUUAGCAUAGUUUAUGUGCCCUUUUGUUAAUCUUUUGCAUGCUCUAGGUGCCCUUUUUCAUUGGAGUUCCCACUGUGUGAUAGGGGAAACACUAAUCUUUGAACUCUUUAUUCUAACAAAACACAAGCAUCACAGAUAGAUGUCACAGUCAGAUAUGUUUUAGUUUAUUUUCAAUGCAAAUUUCUAUAUUAAACUAAAAUAUAAUAAACAUGAUCUUCUUUUUAUUAAGAAUGAUUGAUUCCUCUCUUGAAAUCUGAAAAUGGUUGAUGUACACUUUUUGAGGGAGGGUGGGGGUCUGAAAAAGUGUACGUUUUGUACACUUUGGAAAAUGGUUGACAAUUAUGGAUGACCCCUAAGCUGUUGUUAUCAGUAUUGAAUCCCUAGUAUAAAAAAAAGAUUUUUUUUUAAAAACAUAAUAGAAUUAAAAACCAAUCAUGUACCUUACUUAACAAACAUUCUAAUCUAAAAUAAAUGACCACUGAGUCCAUGCAAUACAAUAGACUUAUCAAAAUAUGCAAAAUCACAUGUGUUUCAUAAAUCAAGUAAAAAAAGUGUCAAAG